UAAUUUUUUUUUCUAUUCUAGGACAG
Molecule: non-coding RNA, 26 nt
Filed under: Cricetulus griseus (Chinese hamster)
Lineage: Eukaryota; Metazoa; Chordata; Mammalia; Rodentia; Cricetidae
Source: RNAcentral